RNA transcript from Oncorhynchus keta (chum salmon), 4201 nucleotides. It is a transcript of the gene named ras homolog family member T1a, with no coding region annotated. The transcript has 23 exons. The record is from RefSeq and is a predicted model, not a curated record. NCBI's taxonomy places the organism in Eukaryota, Metazoa, Chordata, Actinopteri, Salmoniformes, Salmonidae.
AUACCCCCUCAAUUCGAGCCCUCAGCGUCUUCUGAGUUGAGAGCAAUUGAAUCCCUGCCUCCUUUAUCAUUUCACAAUACAAUCAAAUCAAGCCACUACAUUUGAAUUCCAAGCCAAUGUCACCACAUGAGCGCUAGAGGGUAGCAGAUGCGUUGUCUAGUAUGUUUCGACAGCGUUUGUCUGCUACUGCUUGCCGUAGUUGCCGGGUAUUGGAGGUCAGCUGGAGGAGCCAAAGUGGGGAAGACGUCUCUGAUCAUGUCACUGGUCAGCGAGGAGUUCCCUGACGACGUUCCCCUUCGAGCGGAGGAGAUCACCAUCCCAGCAGACGUAACUCCAGAGAGAGUCCCCACACACAUAGUGGACUACUCAGAAGCAGAACAGUCAGAUGAGCAGUUGUAUCAAGAAAUAUCAAAGGCAAAUGUUAUUUGCAUAGUUUACUCAGUCAACAACAAGAAGUCCAUUGAGAAGGUGACAAGCCAUUGGAUUCCCCUCAUAAACGACAGGACGGACAAGGAUAGCAGGGUACCACUGAUCCUGGUGGGGAAUAAGUCAGACCUGGUAGAACACAGCAGUAUGGAGACCAUCCUGCCCAUCAUGAACCAGUACUCUGACAUUGAGACCUGCGUGGAGUGCUCUGCCAAAAACCUGAAGAACAUCUCAGAGCUGUUCUACUAUGCCCAGAAGGCAGUGCUCCACCCUACAGGACCCCUGUACUGCCCAGAGGAGAAGGAGAUGAAGCCGUCUUGCAUCAAGUCUCUAACUCGCAUCUUCAAAGUGUCGGACCUGGACAACGAUGGCAUCCUCAACGACAAAGAACUCAACUUCUUCCAGAGAACGUGUUUCAACAUGCCCCUGGCGCCCCAGGCCUUAGAGGAUGUCAAGAACGUGGUGAGGAAGAACAUGACGGACGGAGUUGAGGACAACGGACUCACGCUCAAAGGGUUCUUGUUUCUGCACACGCUUUUCAUCCAGAGGGGGCGUCACGAGACCACCUGGACGGUGCUGCGGAGGUUUGGGUACGACGACGACUUGGAGCUUCACCAGGAAUACCUGUUCCCCCUGCUAAAAAUACCUGCUGACUGCACCACCGAGCUCAACCACAACGCGUACCUCUUCCUCCAGAGUGUCUUCGACAAGCACGACAAAGACAGAGACUGUGCCUUGUCUCCAGAGGAAGUCAAGGACCUGUUCAAAGUGUUUCCCUACAUGCCCUGGGGCCCCGACGUCAACAACACAGUGUGUACCAACGACCAGGGCUGGAUCACCUACCAGGGUUACCUGUCACAGUGGACGUUAACGACGUACCUGGAUGUGCAGCGCUGCUUGGAGUACCUGGGCUACCUUGGCUACUCAAUCAUCUGUGAGCAGGAGUCCCAGGCAGCAGCCAUCACAGUGACCCGUAACAAACGCAUCGACCUGCAGAAGAAGCAGACGCAGCGCAGCGUGUUCCGCUGUAACAUUCUGGGAGCCAGGGGGAGCGGCAAGACCAGCUUCCUGCAGGCCUUUCUGGGUCGCAACCUGCUGAAACAGCGGAAGAUCAGAGAAGACCAUAAAUCGUUUUACUCCAUCAACACCACGUAUGUCUACGGCCAGGAGAAGUACUUACUGCUUCAUGAGGUCAUGCCAGACUUUGACUUCCUCUCAGAAGAGGACCUGGCGUGUGACGUGGUCUGUCUGGUGUAUGACGUCAACAACCCGCGCUCCUUUGAGUACUGUGCCAAGGUCUACAAGCAAUACUUCAUGGACAGCAAGACGCCGUGCAUGAUGAUCGCCUCCAAGUCAGACCUGCACGAGGCGCGCCAGCACUACAGCCUGACCCCACUGGACUUCUGCCGCAAGAACAAGCUGCACCCGCCCCAACCCUGGACCUGCAACACGGUGGACGCCCCCAACAAGGACCUCUACACCAAACUCACCACCAUGGCCAUGUACCCCCACGCCAAGCUCCGCUGCAUGUGUACCUGCAACAGGUGUACCUUCUGCAUCUGUCAGAACAUCCUCCAGUCCCAGCUACUGACAAAUAUAAAGGCCAAAUUCUACAGUGUUUUUCUGAACAGGUUACAUGAUGUUGGAGCCUAUCUGUUGGCUGACGAGGAGUGCAGUCUGAUCCAGCAGGUUCACGCCAUCAGUAAUGUAGAGGAGUCUAUCUACAUGGAGUCUUCUGUCCAGCCCUAUGGGCCCCAGGCCAGGUAAAACACAGUAUGGAGAGUCUUCUGUCUAGUCCUAUGGGCCACAGGCCAGGUAAAACACAGCAUGGAGUCUUCUGUCUAGUCCUAUGGGCCCCAGGCCAGGUAAAACACAGUAUGGAGAGUCUUCUGUCUAGUCCUAUGGGCCACAGGCCAGGUAAAACACAGCAUGGAGUCUUCUGUCUAGUCCUAUGGGCCCCAGGCCAGGUAAAACACAGCAUGGAGAGUCUUCUGUCUAGUCCUAUGGGCCCCAGGCCAGGUAAAACACAGCAUGGAGAGUCUUCUGUCUAGUCCUAUGGGCCCCAGGCCAGGUAAAACACAGCAUGGAGAGUCUUCUGUCUAGUCCUAUGGGCCCCAGGCCAGGUAAAACACAGCAUGGAGAGUCUUCUGUCUAGUCCUAUGGGCCCCAGGCCAGGUAAAACACAGCAUCUGACAAACUGGGGGCGAAGGGACAGCUGUUUGUCACUGGCUGGGUAGAUCCAGGUAUGGUGGACGUUGAUGUGGCAACGGCAAGCACUGUUGGAGGAGGAGAUUGCUGUAGGCUCCGUUAUUAUAUGAAGAAGAGAUUAUAAUGAAGGCUACAGACAUAACGAGCUACAUCUAAGUACUUUGGCCUCAACCUUCAAUAAACAACAGCCUUUGAUCUGUUUUCACCCAGUGUACCUGAUGGAACUCACUGACUACCUUUUUAAUGGCCAUCUAUCAUUAACUUUGAAGGUACCGGUCGAUGUCUUAGUCCUACAAAUAGCUGGUUGGUCUGGUUUGUGUGUGGCUGCUUGCUGAAUAAGCUUUGUUGUGCAGUAUGCUGGUGGGAGGAAGGUAUUUCUCUUCCUCUGAGGUACAUGUCAUGGUUAAGCAGGAUGGCAGUUGUCUAUCUAAUGGACACUUCCUGCUUGAAUGGGUUAGGGUUUCUGCUGCUGUGUCAGAUAUCACUGUGAAGAUUAGUGUGUGUGUGUGUGUGUGUGUGUGUGUGUGUGUGUGUGUGUGUGUGUGUGUGUGUGUGUGUGUGUGUGUGUGUGUGUGUGUGUGUGUGUGUGUGUGCGAGAGAAAGAAUAUGUUUGUGAGAGAAAGAAUUGUGUGUGAGAGGGAGAGAAUGUGAGUGUGAACAUGAGAUUGUGUGUUUGGCAAUUUAUAAGUUAGAGCUUUCUGCUAACCUCUGCACUUCAGAAAUUCCUCUCGCUUCUAGAGCCUCUCCUUCUCCCCCUCCCCCCCCCUCUCCUUUCCCUCCCCUCUCAUCCUCCUGUCUUCCCUCCAUGUUGUUGUCUCAUACUGUUAGUACUGUAUGUUAUAGCCAGGGUUGUGCUCAGUGGACCUAGAAACUGAGGCACUAUAUUCAAUCAGUACAGUCAAAAUGCUUGUUAAUUUCCACCUCGUGUACCUAUUGAAUGUGACCCGGACUUAGGGCUUUUCUCUUGUUCCUGUUUCCCUAGCAGAACCUCCUCCCCGUCCCUCACUCUUUCUGUCCAUAGCCAAUACUUUCCUCGCCUUUUAGGUUUCACCCAAUAAAUAGGAGUUAUUGUCAGAUUGACCAAACAAAUCUAAUGUUCCAGUAACAGCCACUCACAUGUUAAUGUAUGCGGUACUGCUCGCAUCACAGACUUAGCCUGGUUAAACUAACUGAACGCUGAACUCCCCAUUCUAGAGAAGUGAAACAAUGGUGAGCGCAGCGUUCAGUCUGGUUUAACCAGGCUAUCACAGACUAGCUCAUUUUCAGAAGACAGUUUAACUAGGCUGUCUUCUGAAAAUGAGCUAGUCUGUGAUAGUAUAUCAUGUUUAACCAGGCUAACUCAUUUUCAGAAGACAGUAUAUCAUGUAAAGAGGUUGUAUUGGUACUACAACAUUGGUACUAUCGAACAGUUGGACUGUACCUCUGUUUUUGUAGACAUUUGUUUAGGAAGCUCAGAGAACAUAACUUUGGUUUGUCAUUUGUCAACAUGUCCUCAUGUGAUUUGGAAACGAGGCUGUAUUGUUGUAUUCAUUUCUUUAUCCCCCCACUCCCUCUCUUUAUCCCCCAC